This 457-nucleotide ribosomal RNA is filed under the name uncultured bacterium. RNAcentral describes it as "bacterial SSU rRNA". It matches the Rfam family "Bacterial small subunit ribosomal RNA", at positions 925 to 1382 of the family's 1533-position model. The record is from RNAcentral.
ACAAGCAGUGGAGUAUGUGGUUUAAUUCGAAGCAACGCGAAGAACCUUUACCAGGGCUUGACAUCCCUUGAAGCAGCUAGAGAUAGCUGUGUCCUUCGGGACAAGGAGACAGGUGGUGCAUGGUUGUCGUCAGCUCGUGUCGUGAGAUGUUGGGUUAAGUCCCGCAACGAGCGCAACCCCUGUGGUUAGUUGCCAGCAAGUAGCGUUGGGCACUCUAGCCAGACUGCCGGUGAUAAAUCGGAGGAAGGUGGGGACGACGUCAAAUCAUCAUGCCCUUUAUGUCCUGGGCUACACACGUACUACAAUGGCCGUUACAACGGGAAGCGAAGGAGCAAUCCGGAGCAAAUCCCUUAAAGGCGGUCCCAGUUCAGAUUGUGGGCUGAAACUCGCCCACAUGAAGGCGGAAUUGCUAGUAAUUGCAGAUCAGCAUGCUGCGGUGAAUACGUUCCCGGGCCUU